RNAcentral lists this ribosomal RNA (253 nucleotides) under uncultured bacterium. RNAcentral's name for it is "partial 16S ribosomal RNA". It matches the Rfam family "Bacterial small subunit ribosomal RNA", at positions 524 to 776 of the family's 1533-position model. The record is from RNAcentral.
UACGAAGGGGGCAAGCGUUGUUCGGAAUUACUGGGCGUAAAGGGCUCGUAGGCGGCCAACUAAGUCGGAUGUGAAAUCCCCAAGCUUAACUUGGGAACUGCAUCCGAUACUGGAUGGCUUGAAUCCGGGAGAGGGAUGCAGAAUUCCAGGUGUAGCGGUGAAAUGCGUAGAUAUCGGGAGGAACACCUGUGGCGAAAGCGGCGCACUGGACCAUAACUGACGCUGAGGCGCGAAAGCUAGGGGAGCAAACAGG